AUAUGUCAUCUCUGGGUAAUUUAUUACUUUAUUUUGGCAUAGUUCCCUUACUAUUAACUCUUGUUUGUUCCUUUCCAGUCUUGCCCGCUGUAAUCUUGACUUUAAGGAGAUCUUCAUGGGGACUUGCAAUAUCACAAAAGGAAUUUCGACGACCUUCUCUGGGAUUUGAGGCAACAAACCUUUACGCAACUUAUUUAUCUAUCAUAGAGAAAAUCAUUCAAAAUUUUCCGAGUAUUUGCAAUGGGGUUGUGAUUGAGAAGGCUACGGUCCAACGAUGUAAUAGUUUGGUGUGGCGGAAAAGCGGUUCAGAGUUUCUUGGAG
Molecule: long non-coding RNA, 321 nt
Organism: Vicia villosa (hairy vetch)
Lineage: Eukaryota; Viridiplantae; Streptophyta; Magnoliopsida; Fabales; Fabaceae
Exons: 3
Source: RefSeq, a predicted model, not a curated record